RNAcentral lists this long non-coding RNA (215 nucleotides) under Rattus norvegicus (Norway rat). RNAcentral's name for it is "long non-coding RNA NONRATT031087". Lineage: Eukaryota; Metazoa; Chordata; Mammalia; Rodentia; Muridae. The record is from RNAcentral.
CGCACAGCGCGCCUUCCCGCCUCCCAGCCGCCGCCCAAGCAGUUCCCGGCCGGCGCCAGCAGGCCUGCUUGGUCGAUCUUCGAGCCGAAGAUGCGGCGGGGCUGGAAGAUGGCUCUGUCUGGGGGGUUGCGGUGCUGCCGCCGGGUACUGUCCUGGGUGCCAGUGCUCGUUAUUGUCCUCGUCGUUCUCUGGUCCUACUAUGCCUACGUCUUUGA